This 73-nucleotide transfer RNA is filed under the name Apaloderma vittatum (bar-tailed trogon). It matches the Rfam family "tRNA". From Rfam's summary of the family: Transfer RNA (tRNA) molecules are approximately 80 nucleotides in length. Their secondary structure includes four short double-helical elements and three loops (D, anti-codon, and T loops). Further hydrogen bonds mediate the characteristic L-shaped molecular structure. tRNAs have two regions of fundamental functional importance: the anti-codon, which is responsible for specific mRNA codon recognition, and the 3' end, to which the tRNAs corresponding amino acid is attached (by aminoacyl-tRNA synthetases). tRNAs cope with the degeneracy of the genetic code in two manners: having more than one tRNA (with a specific anti-codon) for a particular amino acid; and 'wobble' base-pairing, i.e. permitting non-standard base-pairing at the 3rd anti-codon position. Lineage: Eukaryota; Metazoa; Chordata; Aves; Trogoniformes; Trogonidae. The record is from Rfam by way of RNAcentral.
GGCCGGUUAGCUCAGUCAGUUGAGCGUUAGCGCUAACAACGCUAAGGUCGCGGGUUCGAUUCCCGCUCGGUCU